UGUAGAUCCGACAUCGUCAAACGGAAAAUUACAAAGUUCUUGAAUUCCUGGAAGGUUCUAACGGGAUAUAGGGUUUUGUUCCAAUGGAAAACGCAUAUUCGUUUCUAGGAAUCGGUUUUAAUUAAAUUUCCACAUCCGUGAACAAAGGGAUAUGAUUUAUCGUGCGAUAGCAUAUAAUGAAAACUAAGGCAAAGAAUGGAAUUUUUUGUUUUUCGUAGAAAACGUGAGACGACAUCGCCUUGUUAAGAGGAAAUAAAACCAUUCCCGGAAAGAAUAACGAUCGUCGUUAAGCGUAAUGUAAUUUCUUUCUGAAGAGUCAUACUAAUCUAUCGCCCACGCGUAAUGCCUCGAUGCUAAGCAUCUCUCAUUUUGCAUCUCGUUCGUUGCCAUUCAUCUCGUCGUGUAAAACGCAAAUAAAAUGGAAAGAAAUAUUUUUUAUUCCAAGAAGCAAUUAUUCAAACAACAAUUUAUCAACGGAUAAGAAAAUCAGAAAUGUCCCUUUUAAUAUUUUUCAAAUUAAUAUUAAAACCAUCUUUCUCUUCUUUUUUACACUCUUACUUAUCUGAAAUUCUUUAUCUCCUAAUUUCGAUAAACCAUUUUACAAAACGUAGGCUAUUGUCCGUUUUACGUUUAACUGUUAUGAAAUUUUGCAGUCCAUUUACGCAUAAUCUUGCGAGUAAAGUACAUUUUGCCAAAAGUAAUCGAGCGUCUGUCUACUUUUGAACAAUACUGUACCCAACAGCUACUUACAGUGGCUACAAAAAGUAUUUCUGUAUUAUUUCUACUAUUCUGUUUAUCCCAGCGUGCUAAUCAAUUAUAUUAAUUGAAAGCAUAUUAAUUGUCCUCUGUCUGCAAAAGCCUUACCGACAUUUACACGCUGGAUCGUUUAGGAUCAUGCAAUAUCUGUUUACGUUCUCGUGUUUUAAAAAGUGUGCUCAAAAAUUCUUGAAUACUCUUGCAAGUUGUUAGAAUAUCUUCCAAUAAUUUUCAUAUCGAUACAUGUGAAUCUUUUUAAGCGAAGCGGAAUCUAAGCAAAAAUACGAAGAAAGUGGAAAAUCGCUUAAAGUCACUGGUCGAAAACCAUCCACUAUGCAGAUGGACAGAUAAAUUUCGCGUCACUUGAUAGUACUAUCGUAUGACUACGAACUAUUGACACUAGUUGAAAGUGAAAUGUAACGGCUGAUGAAAAAAAAUUGAAAAAGAUAGAGAUACGAUAUUGUUAGCUGUAGCUGCACAGCCACCACGCACUCAGCAUCGCAAAUAUCGAAAGCCCUGAAGAAAAUUUGAAGAAGAAAUGCUGUAAUUUUAUAAAACUGAAUUCUAAUCGACGAGACGAGUAAACGUGUGACAGAUAUCGUAGAAUAGAAAAAAAAGUGUAUAAUAGGCAAAAAAAGAAAUGUUUAAUAUAAAUUUUACUUAGAAUUCAUACACGCAAAGGAAGCUGUCGGAACAGAUUUAAUUCCCGUUCAUUAGAUUCGUCGCCUUACUGAAUACGAUAUUCUCGAGUUCGCGAUUCAAGGGAAAGCGAAGAAUUCUGGUGGGGUCGAGAGUGUAAAAUAAAAAACAGGGGGCUCGAACGAAAAGAAAAA
Molecule: long non-coding RNA, 1589 nt
Organism: Bombus terrestris (buff-tailed bumblebee)
Lineage: Eukaryota; Metazoa; Arthropoda; Insecta; Hymenoptera; Apidae
Exons: 3
Source: RefSeq, a predicted model, not a curated record